CUAGAUCUAGCGAGUGGCGAACGGGUGAGUAAUACGUAAGCAACCUGCCUACAAAGACUGGGAUAACACUUGGAAACGAGCGCUAAUACCGGAUAGGUAAUGGGAAGGCAUCUUCCUAUUAUUAAAGGUUUGAAACACUAGUAGAUGGGCUUACGGCGCAUUAGCUUGUUGGUGAGGUAACGGCCCACCAAGGCGAUGAUGCGUAGCCGGACUGAGAGGUUGAACGGCCACAUUGGGACUGAGACACGGCCCAGACUCCUACGGGAGGCAGCAGUAGGGAAUUUUCGGCAAUGGGCGCAAGCCUGACCGAGCAAUGCCGCGUGAGUGAUGAAGGUUUUCGGAUUGUAAAGCUCUGUUGUAAGGGAAGAACGGCUCGGAUAGAAUCCGAGAUUGACGGUACCUUACCAGAAAGCCACGGCUAACUACGUGCCAGCAGCCGCGGUAAUACGUAGGUGGCGAGCGUUAUCCGGAUUUAUUGGGCGUAAAGGGUGCGCAGGCGGCCUGUUAAGUUUAAGGUGAAAGCGUGGGGCUCAACCCCAUAUAGCCUUAGAUACUGGCAGGCUAGAGUACUGGAGAGGAAAGUGGAAUUCCAUGUGUAGCGGUAAAAUGCGUAGAUAUAUGGAGGAACACCGGUGGCGAAGGCGACUUUCUAGACAGUAACUGACGCUCAUGCACGAAAGCGUGGGGAGCAAAUAGGAUUAGAUACCCUAGUAGUCCACGCUGUAAACGAUGAAUGCUAAGUGUUGGGGGUAACUCAGUGCUGCAGUUAACGCAAUAAGCAUUCCGCCUGUGGAGUAUGCACGCAAGUGUGAAACAUAAAGGAAUUGACGGGGGCCCGCACAAGCGGUGGAGUAUGUGGUUUAAUUCGACGCAACGCGAAGAACCUUACCAGGCCUUGACAUCCCUUGCAAAACUCUAGAGAUAGAGCCGAGGUUACCAAGGUGACAGGUGGUGCAUGGUUGUCGUCAGCUCGUGUCGUGAGAUGUUGGGUUAAGUCCCGCAACGAGCGCAACCCUUGUCUUCAGUUACCAUCAUUUAGUUGGGGACUCUGAAGAGACUGCCGGUGAUAAACCGGAGGAAGGUGGGGAUGACGUCAAAUCAUCAUGCCCCUUAUGGCCUGGGCUACACACGUACUACAAUGGCGUAUACAACGAGUCGCAACCUGGCGACAGGAAGCAAAUCUCUUAAAGUACGUCUCAGUUCGGAUUGGAGUCUGCAACUCGACUCCAUGAAGUUGGAAUCGCUAGUAAUCGCGGAUCAGCAUGCCGCGGUGAAUACGUUCUCGGGCCUUGUACACACCGCCCGUCAUACCAUGAGAGC
This 1320-nucleotide ribosomal RNA is filed under the name uncultured bacterium. Its description in RNAcentral is "bacterial SSU rRNA". It matches the Rfam family "Bacterial small subunit ribosomal RNA", at positions 82 to 1411 of the family's 1533-position model. The record is from RNAcentral.